UUUAAAAUUUGAGAUUUUAAAUUUAAAAUUUUAAUUUCAAAAUUUGAAAUUUCAAAGUUAGAAUUUUAAAUUUAAAAAUAUAAAUUUAAAAAUUUAAAAAUUCAAAUUCUAAUAUAAUAAGCGGGUAAUAUAAUUAUUUUUUAUUUAUAAAAACCUAUUAUCCUUCUUAUUCUAUCUUACCUAACCGAACGCUAUUUUUUUUAUUCCUAGAAGUAACCUAAUUUUCAUCCAAACGCAAAACUGAUCUAAUCCCUGUUUAUACCUCAAUUUAUACCUAUCCCUGGAAUAGUCACUUUUUGCUUAUCCUCGAACCAAACGAUACCUUAGAGUUCAAAUCCGACUACCCCUAAUACAUAUACUUAGGGCUUAGUUAGACCUCCAUUCUAGCACAUAUAACUAGAGUGAAACUCGGUUAAUCCUGAUACAUAUACUCAGGAAUUAGCCACUCUCUACUUUCGGGUAAUUCGACCCACCUCAAUACAUAUACUUGAGGUCUGGUCACAUCUCCAUCUUAGAACAUAUAACCAAGGUGGACAUAAUCGGACUCUAAGACAUAUACUUAGAGCCAAUUAGACUCUAAUACAUAGAGUCUAAGAUCGACUAGGUCUUAACACAUAUACUUAGGAUCUAGUCAAUUUCAAAUCCAACUGAAUCCUAAUACAUAUACUUAGGAUUCAAUAAAUCAAAACUUCUAUUGACCACCAAGUUGCUAAAUUGAGUAUCUAGUCUUAUAAAAUUUAUGUACAGUGGGAGUAUGCCCCUGCUUAAGCCAUGUAAACGGCAAAUCAUAUCAAUAAAAUUUUAUUUGCCUGUUUUGUCUCUUUUAUUAUCAGCAUUUAUAUUUGGUCUCUUAAUCGAGGGUUCCUUAACACCGAAAGUGUGGGGUAAUAACAACAUAUUCUUGAGUCUGUUGGAAGCCAUGAACCUAUAAUCCUGAUUUCAAAAUAAAACAUAAACAAAUUUUAUCUCUACCAUGAAUGACCNCCUGUUUUGUCUCUUUUAUUAUCAGCAUUUAUAUUUGGUCUCUUAAUCGAGGGUUCCUUAACACCGAAAGUGUGGGGUAAUAACAACAUAUUCUUGAGUCUGUUGGAAGCCAUGAACCUAUAAUCCUGAUUUCAAAAUAAAACAUAAACAAAUUUUAUCUCUACCAUGAAUGACCACUCGCCCUAGAAACACCCUACGGCGGGGCCGGUUCGUUCGUGGCAGACACUCAUAUUAUAGUGGACAUAAACUAGCUUCUCUAAUUGAGCGUACACUAAUCCGUUACGCAUUUCGAUAUGUAUCAGU
This 1287-nucleotide long non-coding RNA is filed under the name Ananas comosus (pineapple). RNAcentral describes it as "long non-coding RNA (ACOM_LNC008906)". The record is from RNAcentral. Lineage: Eukaryota; Viridiplantae; Streptophyta; Magnoliopsida; Poales; Bromeliaceae.